Mus caroli (Ryukyu mouse) is the source of this 1825-nucleotide long non-coding RNA. RefSeq lists it as uncharacterized. NCBI's taxonomy places the organism in Eukaryota, Metazoa, Chordata, Mammalia, Rodentia, Muridae. The record is from RefSeq and is a predicted model, not a curated record.
GCAGAAAGUAGAAAGACCGUGGCAGUUAAGAAUAAGUGGUCACUGCAGUGUCUUCUCCCUUCAAAAGAUCCAACUGAUGCUGAGGUAGAAAUUGAAUGUCAGCGCCCCCUAAUCCUCCUCUGCAGACUCUUGCGAGGAUGUCUCUUCGGUCUCCUGCAACACACGGAAGGCAGGUCACUACAGUAUACCACUCAGUAAAGUAUGCCUCAGAGCCCGUCUGUGCUACACAACCGAACUCCCAUUCAUUAGUGUCUGAAACACUUCAGCUGUGAAGACCGAGGGGAAUGUAAAUCCCAGGAAUAAACACACAUACAAAUGAAUGGAUCACAGCUUCAGAAGCAGAAUGGCAGCGGCAUCCAGUCACGGGAGUUCACACCGACUUUGUUUAGUCUGCUUUUGGUUUUGUGGGAAAUGUGGAACGCAUGAAGCUACCUCCCUUCGCCUCCCAGGCCCCGCCACACUGUGGGCUUCACAUCUUGACGAGGCAACAGGCCAUGACCCUGAGAUUCUCUGCGGAGUCCUGGUUAGAAAGGAGGAUGUAGCAUGAUCAAAGCCAUGGGCAGGCGAAUGAGAGACAAGCCGAGGACCCAGCGACCUCUGACCCUGUCUUUUCACUUAAUAUUUAAAUUCCUGAAAGUCACUAAAAUGUUUGGCAGAUCCCUCCUUUGUCCCCUCCCAAAGGACUCACUUCCCCUUAUGACAGGCGAUACGGACUCACUUUAGGUUGCUCCUCUGGAAGAGACCACAGCAGAGGAGUGGGUAGCUGUGUCCCACCUCACCCUCGCACAGUGAGCAGAUUUAAUAGGAUGAAGUCAAGCUGAAACCACCCCUGGAUGGAGCUAUGAUUAUUCCGUUUCUAUCAGCUUGAUAGUCUUCUUUCUAGAAACCUAAGUACUUGAAGAUUGGGAAGGAACUGGGAUUUCUCAGCUUAUGGGAGACCUUGGACCAGAUGGAAUGUGACCAGCCUUGCGGAAGGUUCCCGGAAGCCUUGCUGAAUGUUGUCUGUCAUGUAAACAGCCUUGAAAACCACCCUUGAAGUUUCUGUGAAAACAUUCAACAUCUUGGAAGGGCUGAGUGCCACAGGACAACGGGGGUUUCCCAGGAUUCCCUCGUCCCUGUGCCACACCACACAUGGAAGAUCCCCACAGGUGAGGAGGGAAAGUCAUAUGGUAAUAUUUGAGAUAUUAUAACUGGAUUUACAAUCACCAUGGAAACACACCCCUGGCUGUGUGUGUGUGUCUGUGAAAAUGUUUCCGGAAAAGGUUUAGCCAGAGAGAAGACCCGCCCUCGAAGUUGCCAACAGCAGCAUCCCACUGUCUGUGUUCCAGACUGAAGAAAACAGGAGUAUGGAAGCUGAGCAACCACCAUCACCUCUCUCUGCUUCCAAACAGAGUGAGUAAAGUGGCCAGCUGCCUCGGGCUCCUGCCGCCCUAGUUUCCCCAGCCACUACAAACUGUGUGUCCUUGAACCGUAAGCCCACCUACAUCCUUUCUGCCUUAAUCUGUCAACUCUUUUGUAACAAGAUCGGGAAAACAACUCCUAUGACGUCAACAGUUAACUGUUUUGUAUGCCAAGCAGUACUUCCCCAACUUACUUAUCUGGAUGCUCAUUGGUUGGUGUCUACUUGGGCUGUUUCCACCUCUUGGCUACUGAGAGCAUCUCCUGUGAGCUUUCAUGGACAUAUUCCACCACGGAUGAAGAUGCUGGCCUUCUCUACGGAUGCUGUACAGGUCCCCGAACAGCCCAUCCAUCUCUAUCUUCCCACUGUUCUCCCCUCACUCCCAUGGCUCCCUACUAAGGAAAUUCAUACAUUUCUUGCCUUUAA